UUUUCAUUAAAACGUGUUCGUAAUGUUUGCAGAACCAUCACAGGCACCAUCCUGAAGAAGGAUGGGUGCAGCUGUGGGAGUGGCUGCUCAUGUGACCCAUGCAACUGCUAAGUGAACAAGAUGCCCAAACGACAACAACAAAGCUUCUUAUCCAUAGAAUAAACAGAAUUUGGUGUUCUUUUUCUUGUUCUUUUUCUUGAAAUGUGUAGUGUGAAGUGAAGUGUGUGAUGUUGCUUUGUUGUGUGGGUGGGCAAUUGGGGUUCAUAUCAGCUCAUCAAAGUUUCUAUGUGUGUUUGAAUUUAUGUUUUAUAUCAAUAUUUGUUUCGUGUUGUA
Molecule: non-coding RNA, 333 nt
Organism: Cucurbita pepo subsp. pepo (vegetable marrow)
Lineage: Eukaryota; Viridiplantae; Streptophyta; Magnoliopsida; Cucurbitales; Cucurbitaceae
Source: RefSeq, a predicted model, not a curated record